Molecule: transfer RNA, 72 nt
Filed under: Camelus bactrianus (Bactrian camel)
Lineage: Eukaryota; Metazoa; Chordata; Mammalia; Artiodactyla; Camelidae
Also listed under: 2 other names
Rfam family: tRNA
About the family: Transfer RNA (tRNA) molecules are approximately 80 nucleotides in length. Their secondary structure includes four short double-helical elements and three loops (D, anti-codon, and T loops).
Source: Rfam by way of RNAcentral
AGGGGCAUAGCUCAGUGGUAGAGCAUGUGCUUAGCAUGCACGUGGUCCUGCGUUCAAUCCCCAGUACUUCCA